UAUGUCUUCACUAUUAUUAUAAAAUGUAGAAAAUAGUAAAAACAAAGAACAACCCUGGAAUGAAUAGGUAUGUCUAAACCUUUGACUGGUACUGUUAAUUGUUUUUUCGUUGUUUGUGUGGAUUUUUGGUCAUUAUAUUUUCCCGAUACUGGAAUUACUUUUCUUUGGUGAAGUUUUCACCCCCGUCCAGUUGAUGGCGACAAUACAUCUUUUGCGUGUAGUUCGCCAAUAAACCAGAAGAAGAAGAAGAAGCUUAUUUUUGUGGACAGACGUUUGGCGGAGUAGAAUUUCUCGCUUAGACUCUUCCUCUCUGUUAGAAAGCAACUGCGGACACGCUAGCUCAGUUGUUUUAUUUAGAUUUUAUUGAAACACUCGCAAAUAUGUCUGGAAGAGAAGGUGGUAAAAAGAAGCCCUUAAAAGCUGCCAAGAAAGCGACUAAGGAGAUGGAUGACG
This is an RNA transcript of Oncorhynchus keta (chum salmon), 453 nucleotides long. RefSeq lists it as uncharacterized. The transcript has 2 exons. NCBI's taxonomy places the organism in Eukaryota, Metazoa, Chordata, Actinopteri, Salmoniformes, Salmonidae. The record is from RefSeq and is a predicted model, not a curated record.